GAGUUUGAUCCUGGCUCAGGACGAACGCUGGCGGCGUGCCUAACACAUGCAAGUCGAACGGAUCUGUAUUGAAACCUAGUGAUAUACAGGUUAGUGGCGGACGGGUGAGUAACGCGUGGAUAACCUGCCGUAUACCGGGGGAUAACACUUAGAAAUAGGUGCUAAUACCGCAUGAGCGCACAGCUCCGCAUGGAGCAGUGUGAAAAACUCCGGUGGUAUACGAUGGAUCCGCGUCUGAUUAGCCAGUUGGCGGGGUAACGGCCCACCAAAGCGACGAUCAGUAGCCGGCCUGAGAGGGUGAACGGCCACAUUGGGACUGAGACACGGCCCAAACUCCUACGGGAGGCAGCAGUGGGGGAUAUUGGACAAUGGGGGGAACCCUGAUCCAGCGACGCCGCGUGAGUGAAGAAGUAUUUCGGUAUGUAAAGCUCUGUCAGCAGGGAAGAAAGCAAUGACGGUACCUGACCAAGAAGCCCCGGCUAACUACGUGCCAGCAGCCGCGGUAAUACGUAGGGGGCAAGCGUUAUCCGGAAUUACUGGGUGUAAAGGGAGCGUAGACGGCUGUGCAAGUCUGGAGUGAAAGGCGGGGGCCCAACCCCCGGACUGCUCUGGAAACCGUAUGGCUGGAGUGCAGGAGAGGUAAGCGGAAUUCCUAGUGUAGCGGUGA
RNAcentral lists this ribosomal RNA (667 nucleotides) under uncultured bacterium. RNAcentral describes it as "bacterial SSU rRNA". It matches the Rfam family "Bacterial small subunit ribosomal RNA", at positions 9 to 684 of the family's 1533-position model. The record is from RNAcentral.